UAUAGACCAAUUCUAACCAGUGUUAUUCUAUGCUUAAUCCAUUAACUAGCUUAGUUUUUGCUGUGAAUGGAUAUGUGUAUUGUCAAUGACUCAUCAGGGAAUAGGUUUUAAACCUUUGGCCUCACAUCAUGUUUUACAUAAUAAGAUGGAGUAGAGGGAACAGGUAAAUGUUGAACCAUCAUAUCUGUUUGUGAUAUAAUUUCUACAAAUUAGCAAUGUAGCCCAUACCCCCUGGCAACUGAAAAUACCAUUAGAAGUAGAACAUCUUGGAUUUUAUAGUAAGUCCACAUAAAAUAAAGACAAGAAGGAAUUGAAAAAAAAAAUAGUAUGCAAUAGAAGCAGAUUGGGCGGGAAACUGGCAAUGGAAUCAAAUAA
RNAcentral lists this unclassified non-coding RNA (375 nucleotides) under Hevea brasiliensis (rubber tree). The record is from RNAcentral. Lineage: Eukaryota; Viridiplantae; Streptophyta; Magnoliopsida; Malpighiales; Euphorbiaceae.